GAUGAACGCUGGCGGCGUGCCUAAUACAUGCAAGUCGAGCGAACAGAUGAGGAGGUUGCUCCUCUGACGUUAGCGGCGGGCGGGUGAGGAACACGUGGAGAACCUACCUAUAAGACUGGGGUAGCUUCGUGAAACCAGAGCUAAUACCGGAUAAUAUAUUGAACCGAUUGGUUCAAUAGUGAAAGACGGUAUUUCUGUCACUUAUAGAUUGGUCCGCGCCGCAUUAGAUAGUUGGUAAGGUAACGGCUUACCAAGGCAACGAUGCGUAGCCGACCUGAGAGGGUGAUCGGCCACACUGGAACUGAGACAAGGUCCAGACUCCUAACGGAGGCACCAGCAGGGAAUCUUCCGGAAUGAGCGAAAGCCUGACGGAGCAAAGCGGCGUGAGUCAUGAAGGUCUUCGGAUCGUAAACCUUUGUUCUCAGGGAAGAACAAAUGUGUAAGUAACUAUGCACGUCUUGACGGUACCUACUCAGAAAGCCCCGGCUAACUACGUG
This 497-nucleotide ribosomal RNA is filed under the name uncultured bacterium. RNAcentral describes it as "partial 16S ribosomal RNA". It matches the Rfam family "Bacterial small subunit ribosomal RNA", at positions 28 to 507 of the family's 1533-position model. The record is from RNAcentral.